RNAcentral lists this transfer RNA (72 nucleotides) under Camelus bactrianus (Bactrian camel). It matches the Rfam family "tRNA". Rfam says of the family: Transfer RNA (tRNA) molecules are approximately 80 nucleotides in length. The record is from Rfam by way of RNAcentral. RNAcentral also lists the same sequence under 3 other names. Lineage: Eukaryota; Metazoa; Chordata; Mammalia; Artiodactyla; Camelidae.
GAGGCUAUGGCUCAGGGGUAGAGUGUGUGCUUAGCAUGCACGAGGUCCUGGGUUCAAUCCCCAGUACCUCCA